UGGCAUGUGACGAUAUAGGCAGGCACCGGACGCCCCACCUCAACUGGUGUCUGGAAGGAAGGAAGGAGGUAGCAGGGUGGCGGCACUUAACGUCCUCACCGCCUGCGCCCCCCUCUUCUUUUCUCUUCUCUUCUUUUCUCUCUAAGUGCGCGCUGCGUCGGUCCCAACGGCCGGCAGGUGGAGGAAGCCUGCAGAGGCGAGUGCCUCGGUACCCAAACUGAAGCCGUUUCCCCUAGCGGGAGUGGCAGAGGAACAAACCGGAGGAGCGCAAAGACGAGCCGCAGCAGCGUCUUUUGUUUUUCGGAGGAAUACCUUGAGGAUAGUUCCAUUUCCUACAACAGUAGACGUUCAAGGGCUCACUGGGUUGCUAACGUUACCCUUCGGACAGGUAACACCGUGAACACAAUCGACGAAAGUAACCCGUGCAACGGUAGAAAAUGGGCAUGUUCCCGUUCAGCCAAGGAGCACCUCGCAAUAAAGUCUCGUGGUCGAACAGACACAAGAAACAAUAACGACUCAUUCAAGGGAAACCGAGACACCGGUUCUUAAAGUAUACCUGAUCUACGUUGUCAUGGAUUGAUUACAAGACUACAAGCAAGUGGACAACUCGGGACGGUAAACUACUUCUAAUCGAUACGAGUCAGCAACUACCUGGGAACAAAGAAAACUAUCGCACGUGAAGUAUUUAUUUACGACUUGUAACGGUUGUAAGAUCAAGAAGCAAAGUUACCUAAUAGGAGAUCCCUUAAAUAACUCCGAAUUACAAGUUCACAAAUUAAGACGGUAAAUACCAACUCCGAACCACAAGUUCACAAAUUAAGACGUUCGACAAUAUAAAGGGGACAUACUGAUUAACUUAGUAAUGUAAUACGUGUGGCGACAGAGGACGUGAAUUAUCAUGAUUAAAUGAAUGAUACCAUUAGUUCAAAGUGUAACAAGUAAGAUGAUUGAUGUUGUUGUUGUUGUUGUUGUUUCGGAAAUCAGGGUUUGUUCAACCCCAUCCGAUCUCCACUUUGGGUAUUCUAGAGCGUUGGUUGAGUACCGAGACCGUGUACCUAUCGUUCGAAGGUGCGUGGGGACAGGUAUCGAUCGAGAAACAGCUAUGAGGUUAGGAAGUCCAGAGAGAAUUGCCUGAGGAGGGUACAGUUUUAGCCAGCUGGGGCGGGAGAGAACUGUAAGAGGCGUGCGAAAUCGGCAGGCGAUACGUAACCUCGAAGACCUCCGGACGCGACUUAUACGGGUUUGGUAGAGUUUGCUACAACCUGUUCGAAGAGGAGUUAACCACGAUGGGGUUGAGAUAGAGCAUAUAGUAGUAAGGCCUGAGCUAGGAAGGAGCACACCGGUGUGUAGGUAGAGUUGUAUGCGUAGAGGCGGUGUGGAUUGACAACUUGUACAGCGGAAAAUCAGCCGGUUGUGAGGCGCGGUAUGUUGUAACGCCCAGCUUGGCGGCAGGACAUCUUGAACGGAAAAUCGAAAACACCGUGAGAGAACAGUGUCUCUUACGGUCUUCGAACCGCGGUGAAGUAGGUAGGCCGAAACUAAGCUACCAAGUGUAGAAGUAGUUAUGGGGGUAGGAGUACGUUGUAACUGGGGUUUAUGGCUUUCCACAGGAAGGCUCCAUGGUGGACCGGUAGUUCCGAUUGGAGGAGGAGGAGUGUCGAUCAUCAUGACUUUGGCGUGUAGUACAUGAGCCAAAAUCAAGAUGAUUCGGAUUUGGGAAAGCUAAGGUUCCGACCACAGUCGAGACCGAAAACGUUACGACGAGACCCGUUGCUAGUGUCUCCCAGUGGUAGCGUGGUCAUUGUAAGUGGUACUGUACCUAUGGGACACGGGGUGGCGUUUCUGGCCGGAGAAACCUCCGCGGCGAAAGGACCGGGAACUGCGACGAGACAAGACCGAACAAACGGUCUACGACCGGGAAUUACGCUCCCGGCUGAUAGACCUACUCCUACUCCUACUCCUACUGUUCCCGCUUAUACCGGUCCAAAUACGAUGACUACGACUACCGUGCUUCCAGACUCAGCCAAUUGACGUCCUAAAGUUUUGAUCGUGGCAAAUCUAUAUUAAAUCUAAGUAAUACACAGAAACUUUUCCAACCAAAUCAAGAGGUUUUUUAACAUCUAUACAGUACGGUAAGGGUAUCAGCAUGUAUUCCAGUAAAGGAGUAAGGUCAAAGUCCGAAGUCUAACUUGUUAUUCAACACAAGACCAAACGAUGAAGGGAAAGACUUAACUUCAUAGUACAAUAGACACUUAAAAAAUACAGACGUAAAACUACAAGGCAACAAGACGAUAAACAUUUAGACCUCCACAGAAGUCUAUAGUCACACAAGUCACUUUACAUGAUUGUUAAUGAGGGAGGCAGGCCUUUAUGAACAGUAGUUUUACCUAUUUUCCUUUACAUAGAUCUACAUAAAAUCAAGAUCUAUGUAGAGAAAAACAGGUAAAACUACUGUUCAUAAAAGCCUGCCUCCCUCAUGAAUGUAAACUGUGGUACAAAGAUUCACUCCAAACUACUCUUAGUUUCUUGUCUAUGUACCUGUGUGGUCCGUAUCAUAACGAUUCAAUGUGUUUAC
This 2575-nucleotide ribosomal RNA is filed under the name Triticum aestivum (bread wheat). Its description in RNAcentral is "partial small subunit ribosomal RNA". Lineage: Eukaryota; Viridiplantae; Streptophyta; Magnoliopsida; Poales; Poaceae. The record is from RNAcentral.